Molecule: ribosomal RNA, 591 nt
Filed under: uncultured Gammaproteobacteria bacterium
Lineage: Bacteria; Pseudomonadati; Pseudomonadota; Gammaproteobacteria
Description: bacterial SSU rRNA
Rfam family: Bacterial small subunit ribosomal RNA
Source: RNAcentral
CAGAUUGAACGCUGGCGGAAUGCUUACACAUGCAAGUCGAGCGGCAGCGCGGGGCAACCUGGCGGCGAGCGGCGAACGGGUGAGUAACACAUCGGAACGUACCCUGUUGUGGGGGAUAGCCCGGCGAAAGCCGGAUUAAUACCGCAUAAGACCUGAGGGUGAAAGCGGGGGACCGCAAGGCCUCGCGCGACAGGAGCGGCCGAUGGCGGAUUAGCUAGUUGGUGGGGUAAAGGCUCACCAAGGCGACGAUCCGUAGCUGGUCUGAGAGGAUGAUCAGCCACACUGGAACUGAGACACGGUCCAGACUCCUACGGGAGGCAGCAGUGGGGAAUUUUGGACAAUGGGGGCAACCCUGAUCCAGCCAUUCCGCGUGAGUGAAGAAGGCCUUCGGGUUGUAAAGCUCUUUCGGCAGGAACGAAACGGUGGGCUCUAACAUAGUCUGCUAAUGACGGUACCUGAAGAAGAAGCACCGGCUAACUACGUGCCAGCAGCCGCGGUAAUACGUAGGGUGCGAGCGUUAAUCGGAAUUACUGGGCGUACAGCGUGCGCAGGCGGUUUCGUAAGACAGAUGUGAACUCCCCGGGCUUAACC